AGAGGGUGCAAGCGUUAAUCGGAAUUACUGGGCGUAAAGCGCGCGUAGGUGGUUCGUUAAGUUGGAUGUGAAAUCCCCGGGCUCAACCUGGGAACUGCAUUCAAAACUGACGAGCUAGAGUAUGGUAGAGGGUGGUGGAAUUUCCUGUGUAGCGGUGAAAUGCGUAGAUAUAGGAAGGAACACCACUGGCGAAGGCGACCACCUGGACUGAUACUGACACUGAGGUGCGAAAGCGUGGGGAGCAAGCAGGAUUAGAUACCCCGGUAGUCCACGCCGUAAACGAUGUCAACUAGCCGUUGGGAGCCUUGAGCUCUUAGUGGCGCAGUAACGCAUUAAGUUGACCGCCUGGGGAGUACGGCCGCAAGGUUA
Molecule: ribosomal RNA, 369 nt
Filed under: uncultured bacterium
Lineage: Bacteria
Description: bacterial SSU rRNA
Rfam family: Bacterial small subunit ribosomal RNA
Source: RNAcentral